GCAGUGGUAGUUCAGUAGUAGAAUUCUCACCUUUCAUGUGGAAGACCAGGGUUUGAUUCCUGGCUAAUGUA
RNAcentral lists this transfer RNA (71 nucleotides) under Loxodonta africana (African savanna elephant). It matches the Rfam family "tRNA". From Rfam's summary of the family: Transfer RNA (tRNA) molecules are approximately 80 nucleotides in length. Their secondary structure includes four short double-helical elements and three loops (D, anti-codon, and T loops). Lineage: Eukaryota; Metazoa; Chordata; Mammalia; Proboscidea; Elephantidae. The record is from Rfam by way of RNAcentral.